This 32-nucleotide non-coding RNA is filed under the name Homo sapiens (human). The record is from RNAcentral. Lineage: Eukaryota; Metazoa; Chordata; Mammalia; Primates; Hominidae.
UGGCCCGCAGCCACAAUAAGGGUGUCCAUGGU